CCUACGGGAGGCAGCAGUGGGGAAUAUUGCACAAUGGGGGGACCCCUGAUGCAGCGACGCCGCGUGAGUGAAGAAGUAUUUCGGUAUGUAAAGCUCCAUCAGCAGGGAAGAAAAUGACGGUACCUGACUAAGAAGCCCCGGCUAACUACGUGCCAGCAGCCGCGGUAAUACGUAGGGGGAAAGCGUUAUCCGGGUUUACUGGGUGUAAAGGGAGCGUAGACGGUUAUGUAAGUCUGAAGUGAAAGCCAAAGGCUCAACCAUGGGACUGCUUUGGAAACUGUAAAACUGGAGUGCAGGAGAGGUAAGCGGAAUUCCUAGUGUAGCGGUGAAAUGCGUAGAUAUUAGGAGGAACACCAGUGGCGAAGGCGGCUUACUGGACUGUAACUGACGUUGAGGCUCGAAGGCGUGGGGAGCAAACAGGAUUAGAUACCCGUGUAGUC
RNAcentral lists this ribosomal RNA (440 nucleotides) under uncultured bacterium. RNAcentral describes it as "partial 16S ribosomal RNA". It matches the Rfam family "Bacterial small subunit ribosomal RNA", at positions 338 to 795 of the family's 1533-position model. The record is from RNAcentral.